This 543-nucleotide ribosomal RNA is filed under the name Triticum aestivum (bread wheat). RNAcentral's name for it is "partial small subunit ribosomal RNA". The record is from RNAcentral. Lineage: Eukaryota; Viridiplantae; Streptophyta; Magnoliopsida; Poales; Poaceae.
AUGGUAGUAGUACAAGGUCGUUACGAAGAGGUACUUGGCGUUUUUGCAGCCCGGGUGUUCGGCGACGGUAGUUGUUCACUUGACUGUGGUAGACGAAUUUGGCGGUCCAGGGUACUUGGCGUCCAUGUAGUCGAACUUGAGGGGUCUCGACAUCGUGGUACUUGGCACAAUCUGUAUAGUCAUGCACUUGUCGUCGAGGGGCUUGACGGUCUUAGACAAAACGAAGGGGUACUUUGUAGUUGUUGUAGGGUGGCCUUCGGUGGACUUGGUGGAAACCCUUGUGUGUGCAGGAGGCAUACGACUCCAAAACGCCCACGGCCGUGUGGAAGACCGCGGAGCUCCUGUUACGGGGAGGGUUCGUGGCGACGGCAGGACGCGAAGGAGGGCGGCAGAGGCGACGGACGGAGCAGAGGGGCCAAGACCAUGGCGCAAGGAGGAGAAGCAGGGCCAGGUGCGUGUCUAGGCGAGGAGCUCCUGGUCACAGCGGCGCGGCACCGGAGCAUGGGCUCACCGGCCGGAGCGGCAUGCGGCCACAGAGGAUAG